Molecule: ribosomal RNA, 909 nt
Filed under: uncultured Bacteroidota bacterium
Lineage: Bacteria; Pseudomonadati; Bacteroidota
Description: bacterial SSU rRNA
Rfam family: Bacterial small subunit ribosomal RNA
Source: RNAcentral
AGAGUUUGAUUCUGGCUCAGGAUGAACGCUAGCGGCAGGCCUAAUACAUGCAAGUCGAGGGGUAGAAGAGGCUUGCUUCUUUGAGACCGGCGCACGGGUGCGUAACGCGUAUGCAACCUACCUUCAUCUGGGGGAUAGCCCGGAGAAAUCCGGAUUAAUACCGCAUAAAAUCACAGGAUGGCAUUAUCCAAUGAUCAAACAUUUAUGGGAUGGAGAUGGGCAUGCGUGUCAUUAGCUAGUUGGCGGGGUAACGGCCCACCAAGGCGACGAUGACUAGGGGAUCUGAGAGGAUGGCCCCCCACACUGGUACUGAGACACGGACCAGACUCCUACGGGAGGCAGCAGUAAGGAAUAUUGGUCAAUGGAGGCAACUCUGAACCAGCCAUGCCGCGUGCAGGAAGACUGCCCUAUGGGUUGUAAACUGCUUUUAUUCGGGAAUAAACCUAUUUACGUGUAAAUAGCUGAAUGUACCGAAGGAAUAAGGAUCGGCUAACUCCGUGCCAGCAGCCGCGGUAAUACGGAGGAUCCAAGCGUUAUCCGGAUUUAUUGGGUUUAAAGGGUGCGUAGGCGGCCUGUUAAGUCAGGGGUGAAAGACGGUAGCUCAACUAUCGCAGUGCCCUUGAUACUGAUGGGCUUGAAUGGACUAGAGGUAGGCGGAAUGAGACAAGUAGCGGUGAAAUGCAUAGAUAUGUCUCAGAACACCGAUUGCGAAGGCAGCUUACUAUGGUCUUAUUGACGCUGAGGCACGAAAAGCGUGGGGAUCAAACAGGAUUAGAUACCCUGGUAGUCCACGCCCUAAACGAUGAACACUCBCUGUUGGCGAUACACAGUCAGCGGGCUAAGCGAAAGCGUUAAGUGUUCCACCUGGGGAGUACGCUCGCAAGAGUGAAACUCAAUGAAUUGACGGGA